This is a long non-coding RNA of Gambusia affinis (western mosquitofish), 748 nucleotides long. RefSeq lists it as uncharacterized. The record is from RefSeq and is a predicted model, not a curated record. Lineage: Eukaryota; Metazoa; Chordata; Actinopteri; Cyprinodontiformes; Poeciliidae. The transcript is spliced from 3 exons.
GACUGACUUCAUGCUGAACUCAACUUCUCACCUGAAAUGGCAUCAAACUGGAUGUAAACAUCACUGGAACAGAAAGAAAUCUAAACUCAGCUACCUGUAGCAUCCAGGUACAGGUUUGUGUCGGAAUAAAGGACGAAGAAAGCUUCUGGAACUGGGUACAGUUCCACACGUAGGGUCCUUCUGGUCGACACACUGGAACCCAGAUGAACCCAACAUGGGCCUGAGCGUUCUUCAGCCGGAGCCACGCCGUUUCUAAAUCCCUCUGUCAAAGGCCAGAGUUUCCCAUCAAGGCCCGGGCUGCGGACCAGAACCCGCCUGACCACCCGCAGCGCCGCGGCAGAGUUUAAUCAAGCAUGCAGGAUUGAACCUGGCUUCCAGGUCAGCCUUGCAGCGACGCUGACCGGAACGAGGCGGAUGUGUGACUCACGAGUUGUCGUCAUUUUUAUCAUGAAGCAGAGCGAGUCUGGACGAUGCGUCUCCACAAAACAACCUGAGAUCUUGCUCUGAGUUCGGCUGUGGCUAGUAAUUCAUAUAAAGUGAAGAGGCCGACACAAGUGGCAGCAGUCAAGCUGAGUAAACACUGACCUGCCUCCCGCUUUCAUCUCUGAUGUCACUCAGGAGGUUUCUCCCAGCGAGGUUGAUCGCUCUUACACUGACACAGUAACGCUAUAAAUAGGAACAAAAUGCAGUGAGGCGUCGCUUUCAUCUCCAAGAAUUUUCCACACUCCAGAUAAAAUGUUUCCACCCA